This 471-nucleotide ribosomal RNA is filed under the name uncultured Thiomonas sp. RNAcentral describes it as "bacterial SSU rRNA". It matches the Rfam family "Bacterial small subunit ribosomal RNA", at positions 56 to 525 of the family's 1533-position model. The record is from RNAcentral. Lineage: Bacteria; Pseudomonadati; Pseudomonadota; Betaproteobacteria; Burkholderiales.
UGCAGUCAACGGCAGCGCGGGGCAACCUGGCGGCGAGUGGCGAACGGGUGAGUAAUACAUCGGAACGUGCCCUGUGAUGGGGGAUAACUACGCGAAAGCGUAGCUAAUACCGCAUACGACCUACGGGUGAAAGUGGGGGAUCGCAAGACCUCACGUCAUAGGAGCGGCCGAUGGCGGAUUAGCUAGUUGGUGAGGUAAAGGCUUACCAAGGCGACGAUCCGUAGCUGGUCUGAGAGGACGACCAGCCACACUGGGACUGAGACACGGCCCAGACUCCUACGGGAGGCAGCAGUGGGGAAUCUUGGACAAUGGGGGCAACCCUGAUCCAGCAAUGCCGCGUGUGGGAUGAAGGCCUUCGGGUUGUAAACCACUUUUGGCGGGGGCGAAAUAUCGAGUGCUAAUACCAUUCGGUGAUGACGGUACCCGCAGAAUAAGCACCGGCUAACUACGUGCCAGCAGCCCGGGGUAAUA